UGUACCUACGGGGGGCAGCAGUGAGGAAUAUUGGUCAAUGGGCGAGAGCUUGAACCAGCCAAGUCGCGUGAGGGAUGACUGCCCUAUGGGUUGUAAACCUCUUUUGUAUGGGGGGAAUAAGCUUUACGAGUAGAGUGAUGACAGUACCAUACGAAUAAGCAUCGGCUAACUCCGUGCCAGCAGCCGCGGUAAUACGGAGGAUGCGAGCGUUAUCCGGAUUUAUUGGGUUUAAAGGGAGCGUAGGCGGGCCGUUAAGUCAGUUGUGAAAGUUCGGGGCUCAACCCCGGAAUUGCAGUUGAAACUGC
Molecule: ribosomal RNA, 305 nt
Filed under: uncultured bacterium
Lineage: Bacteria
Description: bacterial SSU rRNA
Rfam family: Bacterial small subunit ribosomal RNA
Source: RNAcentral